GUUCCCAUAGUGUAGUGGUUAUCAAUCUGCCUAACACGCAGAAGGUCCCAGGUUCGCGACCUGGUCGGAACA
This 72-nucleotide transfer RNA is filed under the name Priapulus caudatus. RNAcentral describes it as "tRNA-Val". It matches the Rfam family "tRNA". From Rfam's summary of the family: Transfer RNA (tRNA) molecules are approximately 80 nucleotides in length. The record is from RNAcentral. Lineage: Eukaryota; Metazoa; Priapulida; Priapulimorpha; Priapulimorphida; Priapulidae.